AUUGAACGCUGGCGGCAUGCUUUACACAUGCAAGUCGAGCGGUAACAGGCCUUCGGGUGCUGACGAGUGGCGAACGGGUGAGUAAUGCAUCGGAACGUACCCAGAGGUGGGGGAUAACGCAGCGAAAGCUGUGCUAAUACCGCAUGUGAUCUGAGGAUGAAAGCGGGGGACCGAGCAGCAAUGUUUGGCCUCGCGCCUUUGGAGCGGCCGAUGUCGGAUUAGCUAGUUGGUGGGGUAAAGGCCUACCAAGGCGACGAUCCGUAGCUGGUCUGAGAGGACGACCAGCCACACGGGAACUGGGACACGCCCCAGACUCCAACGGGAGGCGGCAUUGGGAAAUUUUGGACAAUGGGGGCAGGCCUGUCCCAGCAUGGCCGGGUGGGGGAAGAGGGCCUUCGGGUUUUAACCCGCUUUGGGAGGAAACAAAACGGUGUCCGCUAAUACCGGGGGCUAUGACGGUACCUGCAGAAUAAGCACCGGCUAACUACGUG
RNAcentral lists this ribosomal RNA (491 nucleotides) under uncultured bacterium. RNAcentral's name for it is "partial 16S ribosomal RNA". It matches the Rfam family "Bacterial small subunit ribosomal RNA", at positions 29 to 507 of the family's 1533-position model. The record is from RNAcentral.